RNAcentral lists this transfer RNA (73 nucleotides) under Clostridium sp. AM27-28. Its description in RNAcentral is "tRNA-Ile". It matches the Rfam family "tRNA". Rfam says of the family: Transfer RNA (tRNA) molecules are approximately 80 nucleotides in length. The record is from RNAcentral. Lineage: Bacteria; Bacillati; Bacillota; Clostridia; Eubacteriales; Clostridiaceae.
UGGAACGUAGCUCAGUCGGAAGAGCAGCUGGCUUAUAUCCAGUAAGGCGAGGGUUCGAGUCCUUCCGUUCUGA